UCCCUGGAGGACUAGUGGUUAGGCCUCGUUGCUCUUGCCGCAGUGGCCCUGGUUCAAUUCCCAGCCAGGGAG
Molecule: non-coding RNA, 72 nt
Organism: Pangasius djambal
Lineage: Eukaryota; Metazoa; Chordata; Actinopteri; Siluriformes; Pangasiidae
Source: the annotation of a GenBank genome assembly